This 495-nucleotide ribosomal RNA is filed under the name uncultured bacterium. RNAcentral's name for it is "partial 16S ribosomal RNA". It matches the Rfam family "Bacterial small subunit ribosomal RNA", at positions 28 to 523 of the family's 1533-position model. The record is from RNAcentral.
GAUGAACGCCGGCGGCGUGCUUAACACAUGCAAGUCGAGCGACGCGGUUUUAAGGAAGUUUUCGGAUGGAAUUAAGAUUGACUUAGCGGCGGACGGGUGAGUAACGCGUGGGUAACCUGCCUCAUACAGGGGGAUAACAGUUAGAAAUGACUGCUAAUACCGCAUAAGCGCACAGUGCUGCAUAGCACAGUGUGAAAAACUCCGGUGGUAUGAGAUGGACCCGCGUCUGAUUAGGUAGUUGGUGAGGUAAUGGCUCACCAAGCCGACGAUCAGUAGCCGGCCUGAGAGGGAGACCGGCCACAUUUGGACUGGGACACGGCCCAAACUCCUACGGGAGGCAGCAAUGGGGAAUAUUGGACAAUGGGGGAAACCCUGAUCCCGCGACGCCGCGUGAGUGAAGAAGUGUGUCGGCAUGUAAAGCUCUAUCAGCAGGGAAGAAAAUGACGGUACCUGACUAAGAAGCCCCGGCUAACUACGUGCCAGCCGCCGCGGUAA